Molecule: transfer RNA, 74 nt
Filed under: Bacteroidota bacterium
Lineage: Bacteria; Pseudomonadati; Bacteroidota
Also listed under: 1 other name
Description: Bacteroidetes bacterium tRNA-Met
Rfam family: tRNA
About the family: Transfer RNA (tRNA) molecules are approximately 80 nucleotides in length. Their secondary structure includes four short double-helical elements and three loops (D, anti-codon, and T loops).
Source: RNAcentral
GGCGAGGUAGCUCAGAAGGUUAGAGCGUCGGAUUCAUAACCCGAAGGUCGGCAGUUCAAUCCUGCCUCUCGCCA